GACGAACGCUGGCGGCGUGCUUAACACAUGCAAGUCGAACGGUAAGGCCCUGCUUUUGUGGGGUGCUCGAGUGGCGAACGGGUGAGUAACACGUGAGUAACCUGCCCUUGACUUUGGGAUAACUUCAGGAAACUGGGGCUAAUACCGGAUAGGAGCCCCUGCUGCAUGGUGGGGGUUGGAAAGUUUCGGCGGUUGGGGAUGGACUCGCGGCUUAUCAGCUUGUUGGUGGGGUAGUGGCUUACCAAGGCUUUGACGGGUAGCCGGCCUGAGAGGGUGACCGGCCACAUUGGGACUGAGAUACGGCCCAGACUCCUACGGGAGGCAGCAGUGGGGAAUAUUGCACAAUGGGCGGAAGCCUGAUGCAGCAACGCCGCGUGCGGGAUGACGGCCUUCGGGUUGUAAACCGCUUUCGCCUGUGACGAAGCGUGAGUGACGGUAAUGGGUAAAGAAGCACCGGCUAACUACGUG
RNAcentral lists this ribosomal RNA (468 nucleotides) under uncultured bacterium. RNAcentral describes it as "partial 16S ribosomal RNA". It matches the Rfam family "Bacterial small subunit ribosomal RNA", at positions 28 to 507 of the family's 1533-position model. The record is from RNAcentral.